Molecule: ribosomal RNA, 500 nt
Filed under: uncultured bacterium
Lineage: Bacteria
Description: partial 16S ribosomal RNA
Rfam family: Bacterial small subunit ribosomal RNA
Source: RNAcentral
AUUGAACGCUGGCGGCAUGCCUUACACAUGCAAGUCGAACGGCAGCACGGGAGCAAUCCUGGUGGCGAGUGGCGAACGGGUGAGUAAUGUAUCGGAACGUACCUUUCAGUGGGGGAUAACGUAGCGAAAGUUACGCUAAUACCGCAUAUUCUGUGAGCAGGAAAGCAGGGGAUCGCAAGACCUUGCGCUGAUUGAGCGGCCGAUAUCAGAUUAGCUAGUUGGUGAGGUAAAGGCUCACCAAGGCGACGAUCUGUAGCGGGUCUGAGAGGAUGAUCCGCCACACUGGAACUGAGACACGGUCCAGACUCCUACGGGAGGCAGCAGUGGGGAAUUUUGGACAAUGGGCGCAAGCCUGAUCCAGCCAUGCCGCGUGAGUGAAGAAGGCCUUCGGGUUGUAAAGCUCUUUCAGCCGGGAAGAAAUCACAUGGGUUAAUACCCUGUGUGGAUGACGGUACCGGAAUAAGAAGCACCGGCUAACUACGUGCCAGCCGCCGCGGUAA